GUCCUGUCCACAAGCACCUGUGGAAUUUGAUAGCGAAAGGAUGUAGUGUUUGAAAUGACGACGAUUAUCAUUGCUUUAGUGUGGAAUUGAAUGGUAUCAACUGUGUUCCCUUGCGGAAAAAUCAUUCAUGAAUUGAUUUAUGCAAGGUGAAGAUGAUGAACAGUGAUCAAUCUCAUAACUCCUAUAAGCAAUACAAAAUAAAUAGUUGGGCAAACACGGACCCCUGGACACACCAGAGGUGGGAUCAGGUGCCCAGGAGGAGUAAGCAUCCCCUGUCGACCGGUCACACCCGCCAUGAGCCCUAUAUUCUGAUCAGGUAAACGGAAUUAUCCGCAGUCAAAAUCAGUGUGCCAAGAACGGCUUAACAAUCGGUAUGAAACACGUCAGACAGCAUUUGACCCAAUGUGAGGUUGUAUUGACGAACUAAAUCGUUAUAACGACCAUAGAAUUUGCGAAAUGCUGACUUCAAUCGAGACUGUUGAAAGCCCUGUACCAUCAACUUGUUUGUCAGUAGCUUACCCUGAUUUAAAAACUGACUAUACGCAGAACAAGCUAUUGCAUAUCAAAUCAGUUGAGAUAUAUAAACACCAUAUGCAGGUGAUAAUGGAAUAUUGCUACAUAAAUAUGGGAAGUUGACGAUGGAGAAGCUGAAAUCAUCCCGUUUGUCAUACAGUUGAGUUGUCAGUUUGCCGUUAAUGUCUACUUUCAAUAAAAUAUCUAAGUAUGAAGCAGAAGUGUUUGUAACUUUCUACCAAGAGAUUUGUGUGAAAAUAUAAUUUCUUUUUAAAAUAUUGUAAUAAAACAUGCUUUUCCCAUAUACUUCAAUGAUAAAUCCUAGGUGAAAUAAAUCAAGCAGUAAACAAAAUUUUGAAAAUCCCUAUGGUGGAUUAUUUUUAUUUGAUGAACCCUUCAAAAUGAUACCAUGAUUACAAAAAUUCCACCAUCCAUUUAUUAGAUAUGGAAUAUGGUAAUUAUACAUUGAAUACCUUAACGUGUCUUCGGAAGAUUGUAGCGAUACCGAGCCCUACCUAGCCGCUACGAUCUUGAACGCGACCCUUGGCACAGAAUCAAUCGUAUACGUAACUACUCGGCCAUUUCCGCGAACGAAAAAUAAUUUUUUAAAAGGCCGAGCGUGUUCCGAUUGGGCACAGAAUGUGUAGCGCACGGAACUCGGGGUAGAGAAUGCAGAUUGAGUGGCCUUGACUAGGCUACCACGCCCGACGUAUAAUUUACAUUAGUAAAAAAUGAUAAACUCCGAAUCAGCGUUAUCUUAUCGAAUCUACAUACAUCAAGUUUGAUUUGUUUGUUGUUUAACAUUCAUUUUAGAUAUUCUUUGAAUAUUAUGUUACCCUGUUUUCUAUAAAUGUAUGUGUAGUAGGGUGAAUUAAUAUCAAUAAUUUAUUUUAUUUUUAGUGUAAAUAAAAUAUGUAAGUUGCAAAACAUAAACUUUUAUUGGAUUCUAUAAUAGUCUUCCAUAUUUCUCUAUUUAGAUAUGUAGUAAUGUAAUUAUGACCUUAAUGGCUUUCCUUAUGAUUAAACCAUGCAUGCAGUUGUUGUUCAUGGUCUAUUUAAUUCAUUUUGGUUGGCUAGGCUUAGUGUCAAAGGUUAUAUAUCAUGGGUUUUGUGAGUUCUGUUGGAUUUUUAGAUAGUCAGUUGUAUUCACUAGCAGAGUGUUGAAGGGUGGUUUUCUUUGCAUAUCUUUUGACAUCUUUUUUCUGACUUGAGGUUCCUUGAAAAUCAGUUAUCUUCCUAUUUUUGAUAUUUUGGUUCUGGUACCAUAUAUCUGGUAAGAUCAUUGUUUUGUAUGUAUUUCUGUGAUGUCUAACUUGUAUUUGUCAUAUAAUUUCUUUUGUGUGUGUUCGAUGUGUACUUUACCAUUUAGUUUGCAUAAAUGUCAUAAAUGAUAAGAUUUAUUAUAUUUAAAUGCAUUAUGGGUAAAGAGCCUCAUUUUGAGAUUUAAAUGUUAUUUUAUAAUUUUUCUUAAACUUUACACAAAAUAAUGGACGAAUAAUUUUGUGUUCAUUGUAUUGAAAUUAUUUCCCUAGUAUUUGUAUAUUUUAUGUGGUGUGUGAUUGUGUAUGCUUAUAAUUGUUUAUUAUGUUUCAGAGCUGCUAUUUACAUGUCAGAAAUAGAUUUAUUUCUUCAAUAAACUCAUAACCUGUCA
Ostrea edulis (European flat oyster) is the source of this 2164-nucleotide long non-coding RNA. RefSeq lists it as uncharacterized. The record is from RefSeq and is a predicted model, not a curated record. The transcript has 2 exons. Lineage: Eukaryota; Metazoa; Mollusca; Bivalvia; Ostreida; Ostreidae.